RNAcentral lists this ribosomal RNA (451 nucleotides) under uncultured bacterium. RNAcentral describes it as "partial 16S ribosomal RNA". It matches the Rfam family "Bacterial small subunit ribosomal RNA", at positions 354 to 796 of the family's 1533-position model. The record is from RNAcentral.
GUGGGGAAUAUUGGACAAUGGGGGGAACCCUGAUCCAGCCAUGCCGCGUGUGUGAAGAAGGCCUUUUGGUUGUAAAGCACUUUAAGCGAGGAGGAGGCUACCGAGAUUAAUACUCUUGGAUAGUGGACGUUACUCGCAGAAUAAGCACCGGCUAACUCUGUGCCAGCAGCCGCGGUAAUACAGAGGGUGCAAGCGUUAAUCGGAUUUACUGGGCGUAAAGCGCGCGUAGGUGGCCAAUUAAGUCAAAUGUGAAAUCCCCGAGCUUAACUUAGGAAUUGCAUUCGAUACUGGAAAGCUAGAGUAUGGGAGAGGAUGGUAGAAUUCCAGGUGUAGCGGUGAAAUACGUAGAGAUCUGGAGGAAUACCGAUGGCGAAGGCAGCCAUCUGGCCUAAUACUGACGCUGAGGUACGAAAGCAUGGGGAGCAAACAGGAUUAGAAACCCUUGUAGUCC